Non-coding RNA from Malus domestica (apple), 1803 nucleotides. NCBI's taxonomy places the organism in Eukaryota, Viridiplantae, Streptophyta, Magnoliopsida, Rosales, Rosaceae. The record is from RefSeq and is a predicted model, not a curated record.
UUUUUUCUAAAUUGUUGUCGCCGUUCUCAGCCAUUUUGGGAUUAGCUUUCUUUAUCUCUCAAACCCUAAUUUUUCUCCCUUUUGAAUCUCAUCUCUGUCCGCUCGCGCCGGUCAAUCGGUUUAUAAAAAUUUCCUCUGUCCGGUCGCUGUCGCUGCUUCGUAUAAAAAGUUAGCUUUGCUGUGGUGAGGCAUGGUCUCGAACCCUAAUUUUUCUACCUUUAUGUUCUCAUCUCUCUCUGCUCGCUCCGAACGGUUCGUUUGUAAAAAUUCAUCUCUGUGCCGUCGUUGUCACUGCUUGGUAUAAAAAGUUGGCUUUGCUGUCUUCAAUUCCUUUUUCUUGGAAAGUGGAAGCCCCAAAUUUGAGCUUAGAGCUUUAAUUUCUUAAUCAUUCGUUUCUCUGCACUCUCAUCAGUCAGUCUUGAUACUCUCUCAGAGGAGCCUACAUAUUUAAACGUGUUGCUGGUAUAAAAUUUUCUCAUCUAUUUGCAAACAAGUUUGGCAAAUCACAGUACAAAGGUGCUUGAAAAAUUUCAACUCUGCAAGUUGGAAAAAAAAAGAGGGUUUCAAAAUACUGUGCUUUCACGCUUUGGCGUCUUUGUCUUUGUGUUUGAAAGAUUUCUGUAAUAAAGGUGAGUGAGCUAAAAUUUUGGAAUUGUUAAGAUCAAAUUUUAAGUAUUUGUUUCGAUUUUGUUUUAUAAAGUAUGAAUAAACUUGGUAUUUCCUUUAACUUUAAUUGUGUUUAAAUUGAAAUCCUAAUUUUGAUGGUUUGUUCAUAAUUAAUGUUUGUUAUGUUUUUUUGCUGUGUGAUUUAUGUGUUAAUUUUUUUUCACUUUUUUUUUCUUUUUUUUUUCCAAUCUUUUUUGCAGCUCUUCGCUUUUCCUCAUAACAAUUUGUUUUCAACAUGUCUAAAAGAUCUAUAAAUGCGUUGGUCAAUGAUGAUAACAACAAAAAACAAACAAAUAGUGAUAAUGAAUAUAAUGUCUUGGUUCAGUGUGACCAUCAGCCAAGAAAAGUGUGUAGAACCAGUUAUCUUGAAAAUCAUGAAAACGCUGUUUUUUAUCUCAGAUUGAUACAUUUCUUCGAACUCCAUAUUUUAAACAUCAGUGUAGUAGUAGUGGAUCAGCUGUUGUACAAUGCGAUUUGAAAAAUGCUAAUUAUGAUAAAGUGCAGCAUACUGCAUCUGUUGAAAAAAUUGUUCAGCCUUCUGAUCGAAAAGGUAAAAAACCUAUUAAUUUGUUGGAUAAUUCUGAUAACAUGGCUGAAAAAACGAUUGAUCCUCAAAAUUACAAUCUUAUGAACAAGGGCCAAGCAUUCUUCCAGAAAAGCAGAACUGGUAUGUUUUUUAAUUUAUAUAAAAAUAUAUUUCUGUUAUCGUGUAAAUUUAUAUUUAGUUUAUUGCAUAUCUUUCCUAAGUCCCGUUUUCUUUCUUUUCUUUCCUGUGUAUUUUUUUUGCAGGGGUUUUAAAAGAUUACUAGAUAUUUGUGCCCGCGCGUUACUGCGGGAUUGAAAAUUUCAUGAAAGAUUAUGCAACUUCAUUCUCUUCGAAAUUGCCUAAAUAGCAAGAACAAUUGCACAUGGAGCCUACCUUCUGAGUAGCACUUAAAAGCUCUCUUUGAACUCUCCUGUGCUCAUAUGAGAGGGAAUUUUGUCGUCGCUCAAUUUCAAGUCUAGCCUCUCUUUCCAUAAUGAGAGAUUCCAUUGCAGCCUGAUAGACAUAUUCAAACAUUUAAUAAUGUACAGAAGUUACCUAAAUUCAGCCACAAUGAAUAUCAAACCCAUCUACUUACCAUCUUAUCCAACUCU